CUGAGCGCUGAGAUCUUUUCUGCUUUGGUGCCGCGCCCCCCUUGUCAGAGAAGAGAGUUCUUUCCUACCUACUCACAGUCAGAACAACAAGUUCGCCCCAGAUGCAUUUCUAGGAUGAUGAGCCCGCGUCAACAAUUUAAGCACAAGGAGAUGUAAAAAACAGAUUAAUUUUGAUCCACAUAUUUGGACGAAGACUUAUUUCAGGAUAGGCAUGGAGUCACCCUCCAGUUACGUGCAGGCCAUAUACACUUUCAAGGGGACAAAUAAUGAUGAGUUGUGUUUCAAGAAAGGCCAAAUUAUAUCAAUCACUCAGCGAGAAGACGGAGGCUGGUGGGAAGGCACGCUUGAUGGUAAAACUGGUUGGUUUCCCAGCAACUAUGUCACAGAAUACAAACCCUCGCCAACCACAGGUAAAAUGAAAGGAAACAAUUUGAAAUGGAAUAGCAAUUUAACAUAUCAAUACAUAGUUUUAUCUAGCAGCCCAUUGUCAGGGCAAAACUCUCCAAAUUCUGUACCUCUGCCCAUCGACCUAGCUGCCCAGCAGAAACUAUACAAAGGCGUAGUCCUCAAGGAUCUACUGGACUCUGAGAGGGUUCACGUUAAUGAGCUUCGAACGCUUUUUGUCACCUACUUAAGACCAAUGAAGUCUGCAGACAUCUUAAAUUCUGAUGAGUACGUAAAGCUGAUUGGCAAUAUUGAAGAUGUUUUGGCCAAGUACUCAAGGUUGCUUGCCAGCAUGGAAGAAGGAGGAGAAACUGGUGAUGGAGUUAGGGUUGGAAAGUUGUUCCUUACGACAGCACCUGGACUAUCUGAGUGCUUGCAGACUUAUUGUGCAAACCAUCCUUUCGCUGUAGCUCUUUUGGAAACAAAGAGGGAAAUUCUGAAUAAUUUCAUGGAGGCAAGAGGAGCCCAGUCACCAGGACUGCUAGUACUGACUGCUGGCCUUAGCAAGCCCUUUCGCAGGCUCGACAAAUACCAAGGCCUGCUGCAGGAGGUUCUCCGGCACCUAUCUGAGACUGACCCUGACCGAGGGGACACGCAAAGAGCGGUGCACGUAUACAAGGAGAUGGCUGCGAGCUGCAGUGCUAUCAGACGGCAGAAGCAGCUGCAGCUGGAGGUGCUCUCUGGAACAGUGAGAAACUGGGAGGGGGAGGACGUGUCAGCUCUCGGUGACAUCAUCCACAUGGGAUCUGUGGCUGUCGGACACACGCACAGCGACAGAUACCUUGUGCUGUUCCCCAGGACUCUGCUUGUCCUUGCGGUUUCUUCACGCAUGAGUGGAUUUAUAUACCAGGGUAAGCUCCAGCUGUCAGCAAUUCAAAUAAAGAAGUUAGAAGACACAGAAGUUUUCAAAAAUGCCUUUGAGAUCACAAGUCCAAUGAUCGAACCUAUUGUGGCGGUGUGCCAGUCUAAAGAGGAGCAGCAGCGAUGGGUGGAUAUGAUCCAACGGCAGUCAUCUCUGCUGCCACAGCAUUCCUCAGUACCUUCGCAGAUCGUCAAGGAGAAGACCAACUCGCUGCAGCACCAAGUGGCCAGUUCUCCCCACCACCGCGUCACCUCCCCAGUCAGCCUGUCUAAUAUUAGUGCACCAGUUAUGGCUCCAGCUGCUCGAGCGGUGUCAGUGGGAUCGACACCUCAAGGGAAAACGCAACCGUCGCCCCCACCGCACAGGACAGAUCCUGCAGGACUAAAAGGUUGGAGCCUAUCCUGCCUAAGACCAAAACCCCCGCUCAGGGCGGGACUCGUCCUAGGCUCGCAGUCAAUCGACCAGCAGAGAAACUCCCGAAAGAGGGAAGAGCGAAGUUAUGAGGAGGACGCACAGAUUCUCAGCGUGAUUGAGGCCUACUGCUUGAGUUCCAAAACAAGACACACCCUCAACUCAAGCACCAUGUAUCUGUCUGAGGAGCCGGCCGCUGUCCACUUUUACUCUGAGCAGGAGGAAGAUGAGGAUGCACCCUGCCUAAGACCCUACCCUACUGCGCGCAGGCACACCAUGCAACCCUGGUGCUGCGGGAGCUUUGGCAAGGGCUUGCGCAAGUCCUACUUUGAUUGAAAUUCAAUGGGUUUUAUUGUAAAAGAAAAUUAGAAUUCUUAGUGGUUAUUGGUUCGUUUGGUGUUAUGGAAAAGCCAUAAUGCUUGCAAACUCACAAAAUUGUUAUCGCAUCCUCGCCCUGUGCAGGCCUCAUUGAUUCACCUCAGGUGCUGAUCGCCGAAGAAGAGAAAAUCAUUGUCGAGGAGCAUUCUGGCGGAUACACCAACGUCCAAGAAAAAAGUCUUGUGGACACGGUAUACGCUCUUAGAGAUCAAGUGAAGGGACUGUCAGCGCAAA
Molecule: RNA transcript, 2329 nt
Organism: Cloeon dipterum
Lineage: Eukaryota; Metazoa; Arthropoda; Insecta; Ephemeroptera; Baetidae
Gene: RtGEF
Gene name: Rho-type guanine nucleotide exchange factor
Exons: 13
Source: RefSeq, a predicted model, not a curated record